AACCUUGUUCAGCUUAUUAACUUGAUUAUUGCGAAGAAUUGCAUUGAGUAUCUGAAAAUUUAUUGUGUUUUCAAACAGCGAUUGUCAUUUAAAGCAUCCGUACAUAAAAGCCACGUGGACAACAUUUACUAUUACGCAUUUGAUAUGGAUUAUUAUGGUGCCUAAUACAUUGUACAUCAAGUGAUUCCAGAGCAUUUCCCAGAAUUGUCUAUCCGGGUGUCAAAAGUACUUAAUAACAGUGGAGCUGGUAAAGAAACUGUUAUGGAGCGGAGAGAAACGUAUUUGUGGAGGGAAAACAUGAUGAGGGUAUCAUAUCAAUAUAUCGGAAGCGAUCUAGAAAGUUUCCAUUUUGGGAGCCAAUCGGAAGGGACCACCAUUCCCGGUCUACAGUCUGAUAUUGAUUGGCUAUCAAGCUACAAUGAGGUGAAUAUCAUAAGAGUCUGGGUAGACUGACAGGCAGGAAUGUUGAACUUUCUGUUGUUGUACGACGACAUCACUCCACCACAACAGUACUUGCUACUAGUCAUCAGAAAUGACAAACCGGAACCAGAGACCAGGUUAUGGCAAGACACAUUCGUAAGGAAAGAUUCUGGGCAGGUACUGUUUAGCGCUGAAAGGCAUAAACAGAACCUUGAGAAUAAGGCUAGGGAACGAGGAGUGACGAUAAAAAAUGGACCUUCUGUGAGUUAUAUAUCUAACUGGGAUAUAGUACAUGCAUGUCACGUACGCAAACCUCUUCCUGAAAUACAACACUGCUUAGAAAGAUGUAGAGGUAAACACUGGCCACCUGUCCAGCUACUUGAGGCUGCACAGGUAGCUCCGUGUUUCCUGGUUCCUGCAGGACAUCCGGACAGUGAUUUCAAGCGCGAAGAAUGGCGACUGUCUCCAAACCUGAUAGAACGAAUGUUGAUGUUAAGCUUUAAUAUGACACAAAUUAAGCUUUACAUUGUUUUGAAAUUAAUUAACAUAUCUUUAUUUGCUAAAUUUGUGGGAGCUUCCAUUACAAGCUUUCAUAGUAAAACUACAAUGUAUUACAUCAUAGAAAAUACACAUCCUUCUCUGUGGUCCGAACCUUAUGUUUCUACUUCGGCUUUGUUUACAUCUGUUACAGAAAUGGCUGCGAUUGGGAAGGUUCCCGCAUUAUAUCAUAAAAGGAGUUAAUUUGUUUGAUGGAAAAUUCUAUAAGGUGCAGCAGAGACGCCUUCUGGUGUAUAUAGACUCCAUGAUAAGGACAAACUUACACGAUUUAUUUAAUAUAGGUAUAGAUACCAUAGGAUGUCGGCUACAAGCGUGUAAUGCACGGCAAAUUGGACAAGAUAGAGAACUUGGGCGCGUAUGCUUACGUAACAACAUCAGCUUGCUGCUGAAGUUUGAGUGCUUGUAAAGAUUUUACGCGCAGUUUAGAACAUUAUUAUACAAAAUGCAUGGAUCUUAUACAAACAUAGAGCGAUACACAAGCAGUGUUUUACGCAAUUCUUUUGAAUACUUCACGAAUGUCAGAUUGAAAACUAUUGCUUUAAAAUUUAGUAAACACUUGUACGGGUUGCACAAUUCAAUUCAAUCAUCUAACUGUUUGCGAUUACGAAACGUUCUUGACAGCGAAAUUUUAAGGCGUUUCCAGUAUACCUUAAACACGGAUGUAGCUUCUAGUCGCUUAAAGUUGGCUUUUACACUGUACUGUAGUGGACAUCUUCAAGCGGCAGUGAGGGUUUUGGAGGACGUGGAGAUGAGUUUUCGAGGCAAGGUCAAGGCUUAGUGCGGAUGUAGAAGUUACCAAGAAGACAGUGAACUCUAUAUGUUUGCAUAUAUACUAUCAGGUAACAAUGACAGGGGAUUCAGUGAUUUGACAUUCGCACUAUGUGUCAUGUUUUUAGGCGAGAAUCAUACUGCACUCCUUUCACAUUGUUGUUUGACAUGGUUCUUUAUAUCACGGAAGAGGAAAUGGCACAGAGGGAUAACCCUCAGAAACAAUGGAUGGAAAAUGUUGUGGUGCAUGCUCGUCCUUUCCUAUUAUAUCUGUAGACAGUACCUCAUGUAUGGAGGACUUGGUGAACGCGUAGAUCAGCUAUAUGCAUUAAGAGACCUGGCGUCGUAUGUAUGUGAUGGACGUAAUAUAAUAACCAUAUAUCACUACGAGACUGCAAAGAUCUUGCUGGGACACUGUUUUGAAAUGUAGGGAGAUUAUGAAAUUGCAUUACAUCACUACGAAGGUUCGUUACGUUGUUUCGGGACAAACAAUGGCGCCAACUGGCACGUCCGGCGUGUUCUGCGUCUUUCAAGUGGUUAAAAUACGUGGUUAAAAACGAUUCUUGUUAACAAUAGUUAACAAAUGAUACAAGCAUUUUAGUUAGUUUGAUAUGAUUGAUUAUCCAGUGUUAUAAAGUAUACGGAAGCGCAAUUCAUAUGUAUAAUUAACAAAAAAACAUAGUUAUUAUGCGCUACAUGCACUUCAAUAAUUGUCCCAUAACAUUGGUUCUACGAAAUUCACUAAUAAGGUGGUCACAAAUGGUAAAAAAUCAAAACAAUAUUGUAUUCAUGUGUUUGUCAUUGUUGAAUAGCAUGAAGUAUUGGUUUCAAUAUUCAAACACCAGGGGCCCAAACCUACCUCGAUUUUUCCAAAGCAGGAACAAUGUUGUACAUUUUGUAAUGUCGUUUGGUAUACUGAUUUAUGUCUGUCACAUGUAUGCAUCUGCUUAUUAAUGUGUGCUGCGAUUGUGUGUCUUUAACGCUAUGAAGUUUGAACGAACGAAUAUUUUGAAUCUAAUAAAAUAUCAGACGGUGAA
Molecule: long non-coding RNA, 2783 nt
Organism: Dreissena polymorpha
Lineage: Eukaryota; Metazoa; Mollusca; Bivalvia; Myida; Dreissenidae
Exons: 2
Source: RefSeq, a predicted model, not a curated record